RNAcentral lists this ribosomal RNA (442 nucleotides) under uncultured bacterium. Its description in RNAcentral is "bacterial SSU rRNA". It matches the Rfam family "Bacterial small subunit ribosomal RNA", at positions 958 to 1397 of the family's 1533-position model. The record is from RNAcentral.
AACGCGAAGAACCUUACCUGGGCUCGAACGGCUUCGGACAAUCCUUGGAAACAGGGACUUCCCGCAAGGGACUGGAGUCGAGGUGCUGCAUGGUUGUCGUCAGCUCGUGUCGUGAGAUGUUGGGUUAAGUCCCGCAACGAGCGCAACCCCUACUCGAUGUUGCUAAUCCCGCAAGGGAUGCACUCUUCGAGAACUGCCUUCGAUAAGAAGGAGGAAGGUGGGGACGACGUCAAAUCCUCAUGGCCCUUAUGUCCAGGGCUACACACGUGCUACAAUGGCCGGUACAACGGGAAGCAAUACCGCAAGGUGGAGCCAAACCCUGAAAGCCGGCCUCAGUUCAGAUCGUGGGCUGCAACUCGCCCGCGUGAAGGCGGAAUCGCUAGUAAUCGCGAAUCAGCAGGUCGCGGUGAAUACGUUCCCGGGCCUUGUACACACCGGCUAC